This 58-nucleotide non-coding RNA is filed under the name unclassified sequences. RNAcentral's name for it is "chromate-resist RNA". It matches the Rfam family "chrB-b RNA". The record is from RNAcentral.
UGGGGAUAGUAAGCAGACUCCCCGGCGUUUCAAGACGCUCAUCGCGUCCAAGCUCUGC